This 261-nucleotide ribosomal RNA is filed under the name uncultured prokaryote. RNAcentral's name for it is "partial 16S ribosomal RNA". It matches the Rfam family "Bacterial small subunit ribosomal RNA", at positions 524 to 784 of the family's 1533-position model. The record is from RNAcentral.
UACGUAGGGUGCGAGCGUUGUCCGGAAUUAUUGGGCGUAAAGCGAGCGCAGGCGGUUCCUUAAGUCUGAUGUGAAAGCCCACGGCUCAACCGUGGAAGGUCAUUGGAAACUGGGGAACUUGAGUGCAGAAGAGGAGAGUGGAAUUCCAUGUGUAGCGGUGAAAUGCGUAGAUAUUAGGAGGAACACCAGUGGCGAAGGCGACUUCCUGGACUGUAACUGACGCUGAGGCGCGAAAGCGUGGGUAGCAAACAGGAUUAGAUA